This 425-nucleotide ribosomal RNA is filed under the name uncultured bacterium. RNAcentral's name for it is "bacterial SSU rRNA". It matches the Rfam family "Bacterial small subunit ribosomal RNA", at positions 42 to 476 of the family's 1533-position model. The record is from RNAcentral.
UCAGGCCUAACACAUGCAAGUCGAACGGACUACUUCGGUAGUUAGUGGCGAACGGGUGAGUAAUGCCUAGGAAUCUGCCAUUUAGUGGGGGAUAACGUUCCGAAAGGAACGCUAAUACCGCAUACGUCCUACGGGAGAAAGAGGGGGAUCUUCGGACCUCUUGCUAAAUGAUGAGCCUAGGUCAGAUUAGCUAGUUGGUGAGGUAAAGGCUCACCAAGGCGACGAUCUGUAGCGGGUCUGAGAGGAUGAUCCGCCACACUGGAACUGAGACACGGUCCAGACUCCUACGGGAGGCAGCAGUGGGGAAUAUUGGACAAUGGGCGCAAGCCUGAUCCAGCCAUGCCGCGUGUGUGAAGAAGGCCUUUUGGUUGUAAAGCACAAAGAGCGAGGAGGAGGGUACUCUAGUUAUACCUAGAUGUAUCGGA